UACGUAGGGAGCAAGCGUUGUCCGGAAUCAUUGGGCGUAAAGCGCGCGUAGGCGGCCCUGUAAGUCCGUUGUGAAAGUCAAAGGCUCAACCUUUGAAAGCCGAUGGAUACUGUGGAGCUAGAGUACGGAAGAGGCGAGUGGAAUUCCUGGUGUAGCGGUGGAAUGCGCAGAUAUCAGGAGGAAUACCGAUGGCGAAGGCAGGUCUCUGGGCUGACACUGACGCUCAUGCACGAAAGCGUGGGGAGCAAACAGG
This 253-nucleotide ribosomal RNA is filed under the name uncultured bacterium. RNAcentral describes it as "partial 16S ribosomal RNA". It matches the Rfam family "Bacterial small subunit ribosomal RNA", at positions 524 to 776 of the family's 1533-position model. The record is from RNAcentral.